CCACUCAACCCAUAAAGGCACACCCUAAUGUUUACAACACAACGGGGAAAACCACGCCACUUCUAGAAAUACAAGAAGAUUGAGGAACCAGACAUGCAGACGAAACAACAACAAGCAUGCAUACGCAGCGGUAAAACCACGCCACUGCCAGCAACAUACGCCAUCCCAGCAACACACACCUUCCCAACGCAACAUGUUGCGAAUGUGUUAGCACGCAGCACAGGCUUGCUGGGGAGUUAGGUGCAGUGCUGCCAAUUUGGAUUUUUUCCCGUCAAAACUGGCUUUUUUCGUAGGCUAACUGCGGGAAAAAUUUGAGAAUUGCGGGAAUUGGGAAAAGCGGGAAUUCUGGCUUUUUUAGAAAUUCAGUUGGCUUUUUCUGACUUUUUUCUGUGUUGUUAACACUUAAGUACAAAAAAUAUGAAAAAGUGGCAGCUUUACGAUAGUCACUUACAAACAAACAAGAAAAUGUGGUGGCGGAUCGAUUGUUUUUCUCGAUAUACGCGAAUGUCAUCUCUAUUUAGUGGUUCCAUCUCUAUUUAAAAAGUGCGCGUAAAUUCUUAAAGGUUGUGAAAUGCCGGAAGAGUGCAAGCAAAAAUGCCGCGAUGUGUGGCUUAAAAGUGAUGAAUUCAAGGCAUGGAUUCGCAGGGAUGAUACAGGCCAGCAGAGGGUUUACUGCAACUAUUGCAAGAGCACUAUCACAGCGAAACUGAGUGAUCUGCGAGCUCACGCUGCAACAAAGAAGCACACAAGUGCCAUGAGUGGCUUUACCCAGGCGAACAAGCUCAACUUUGCAAGAGCAUCUGAAAAUUAUAAUGUGCAAAUUAAGGAAGCAUCGCUGCGCCUUUUUAUUGUACAGGAUACAGCAAUGGCGCAAAUUGACCACUUGGGGAGCCUAUGCAAAAAACGGUUCGACGGAGCACCGGACCAAAUGCACAAACAUUUUAAAAAAUGUAUUAGGACCACACUUUUCUGAAGACUUACGCCAAGAUAUCGGAGAAUCAAAAUGCAGCCUCCUCCUCGAUGAGUCCAUUCAAAUAUUGUGUUUACCCUGGUCAAACGCGGAGAUAGAAAGGGUUUUUAGCCAGGUUAACCUAAUUAAAUCAAAAUUAAGAAAUUCAAUAGGCCUCGCCACGACUAACAGCAUUCUAAGCAUAAGAAACGGAUUACGAAGAAUGGGAAAAUACUGCGUCGACUAUGAAGUGCCUGUAAAAUAUCUGCAGAUGAUAGGCACGAAUAUGUCAUACGAAAAUGAGACCGAACAAGACGAUAUAGAUAAAUUAAUGGAAAUCUUUUAAACAAAAAUGAACUUAAUAAUUUGUUAUUUUUUUU
Molecule: long non-coding RNA, 1329 nt
Organism: Bactrocera neohumeralis
Lineage: Eukaryota; Metazoa; Arthropoda; Insecta; Diptera; Tephritidae
Exons: 2
Source: RefSeq, a predicted model, not a curated record